This is a long non-coding RNA of Fundulus heteroclitus (mummichog), 1425 nucleotides long. RefSeq lists it as uncharacterized. The transcript is spliced from 3 exons. The record is from RefSeq and is a predicted model, not a curated record. NCBI's taxonomy places the organism in Eukaryota, Metazoa, Chordata, Actinopteri, Cyprinodontiformes, Fundulidae.
AAAAAGCAUCACCAAGCAGCCAUUCACCACAACCUGUCAGCCUCAGGCUCUGUGGGUAUACCUGCCUCCUUUUUGGGCCUCCAUCACCUCCUCAAAAACAUCCUACCUUCGCACCACUGAAGGACAAAUCCUUUUCAUGCUCAUAUGAAGAGCACACUAAAGUAUCCGAGUUUAUUCCUGGCAUUUGGACAGGUGCCUGAAGUGGCAUCGCAUCGGCUCAUGUCCCCCUGGGCACUGCCUGUGUUUGAUAUUCUACAUUAGACACCUCGCAGUCAACUGUGCGUUCACAGGCCAAGCUCUGGGACUAAAUUGUCCUCGCUGCGCUGAGAAAGGCCUUCCUUCGGGCUGGUAAACAAGUCAGCUUGUUAGUAUGGCUUUCUGUCAGAGGAGUGAGGAAACAAAAAGUUGCUCCGGCUUUCUCAUCCCACAGGCAACUCUCUUCAUCAGAAGGUGCAUGCAGCGGUUUCAUUGUACUCUAAUUUAUGAAAUCCAGUAUUUCUCUGUGGGAAGAAAGUUUUUCGUUCCAACUUUUGUGGUGCAGGUAUCUUUGCUGCACCUUCUCAUACCGUACCAAAGCCUUGCUUUAAAACCUGAGGGAAUGCACCUAGUUAGUUAAGAGCAGUGUGGAAGUAUUGUGCUGCUCUUUUCAAGGAAGAAAAAGCUUUCUUCUUUGCCCCAAUUUAGGCUCCCAUGAAUAAUGGAUAUAUUUAUAGGGAAAAUAUAAAUCUCAAUAAGUAGAAAUGUGUAUGUAUUUCUGUAUUUGUUGUUUUACAAAGGUUUAUACAGAUCUAAAUCAAUUCCAAUUCAAUACCUCUCAUUGCAAAAAUAUCCAUGGAGAUGACUUCAUCAUUUUUAUAAAUAAAUUACAAUGCAUUGAGCUUCAAAGUAUCUUUAAGGGCAUGCCACCUGAAAUAGAAAAGCAGUCGUAAAAGUUUGUUACAUGUUUCCAUUUAGCUGCCGUCCCUUACAAAAGUUCUUGUGAAUCAAUAUUUUGUACCGUCAAGUCUUCUGAAGUCUUUGUUAGCUUUGAACAUCUAUAAACUGAAAUUUCUGCCCACAUGGUUUACAAAGAAGCAAAAUACCUCAAGCUCAGCCGGAAUAAAUGGAGAGAACAUCAGUUUUAACUCCAGGAAGGAGAACCUCCACCCCAACCUGGAGUGUUUUCCAGCCUUCAAAAUGUUUCUAAACCCCAUGGUGCUCUGUAUUCAGCUCCAUUCAUCUCCUCAUCAUUUUUGACCAGCUUCCCUCUCCUUAUCUGGGGGACUUUGAGAUCAGUCAAUUUGCUUUACACCUUUGUGUUGUUGUAUUUAUUUUCAUUCUUAGGUUUUGAUGAAUAGAUUUUAUUAACAAUUGAUCAUGUCUAAUCUGUGUUUCCAUGCUCAGUUUUUGUCUCUCGACCAGUGUUUCUCUGUGUAUUAAUUUAGU